UAAGUUAAUAAGGGCGCACGGUGGAUGCCUUGGCACUAGGAGCCGACGAAGGACGUGACAAACGACGAUAUGCCUUGGGUAGCUGUAAGUAAGCGAUGAUCCAGGGAUUUCCGAAUGGGGGAACCCAGCAGGUAAUACCUGUUACCUACAUCUGUUAAAGGAUGUGAGGAGGAAGACGCAGUGAACUGAAACAUCUAAGUAGCUGCAGGAAGAGAAAGCAAAAGACGAUUAGCCUUAGUAGCGGCGAGCGAAACGGCAGAAGGGCAAACCGAAGAGUUUACUCUUCGGGGUUGUAGGACUGCAAUGUGGACUCAAAGAUUAUAGAAGAAUGAUUUGGGAAGAUCAGCCAAAGAGAGUAAUAGCCUCGUAUUUAAAAUAGUCUUUGUACUUAGCAGUAUCCUGAGUACGGCGGGACACGUGAAAUCCCGUCGGAAUCUGGGAGGACCAUCUCCCAACCCUAAAUACUCCCUAGUGACCGAUAGUGAACCAGUACCGUGAGGGAAAGGUGAAAAGCACCCCGGGAGGGGAGUGAAAUAGAACCUGAAACCGUGUGCCUACAACAAGUUCGAGCCCGUUAAUGGGUGAGAGCGUGCCUUUUGUAGAAUGAACCGGCGAGUUACGUUAUGAUGCGAGGUUAAGUUGAAGAGACGGAGCCGUAGGGAAACCGAGUCUGAAUAGGGCGCCUUAGUAUCAUGACGUAGACCCGAAACCAUGUGACCUACCCAUGAGCAGGUUGAAGGUGCGGUAAGACGCACUGGAGGACCGAACCAGGGCACGUUGAAAAGUGCUUGGAUGACUUGUGGGUAGCGGAGAAAUUCCAAACGAACUUGGAGAUAGCUGGUUCUCUCCGAAAUAGCUUUAGGGCUAGCGUCGACAUUAGAGAUUCUUGGAGGUAGAGCACUGUUUGGGUGAGGGGUCCAUCCCGGAUUACCAAUCUCAGAUAAACUCCGAAUGCCAAUGAAUUAUGGUCGGCAGUCAGACUGCGAGUGCUAAGAUCCGUAGUCGAAAGGGAAACAGCCCAGACCACCAGCUAAGGUCCCAAAAUAAUUGUUAAGUGGAAAAGGAUGUGGGGUUGCACAGACAACUAGGAUGUUAGCUUAGAAGCAGCUAUUCAUUCAAAGAGUGCGUAAUAGCUCACUAGUCGAGUGACCCUGCGCCGAAAAUGUACCGGGGCUAAAACAAUUUACCGAAGCUGUGGAUACCUUUAUAGGUAUGGUAGGAGAGCGUUCUAUGUGUGAUGAAGGUAUACCGUGAGGAGUGCUGGAAUGCAUAGAAGUGAGAAUGCCGGUAUGAGUAGCGAAAGACAGGUGAGAAUCCUGUCCACCGUAAGACUAAGGUUUCCAGGGGAAGGCUCGUCCGCCCUGGGUUAGUCGGGACCUAAGGAGAGACCGAAAGGUGUAUCCGAUGGACAACAGGUUGAUAUUCCUGUACUAGAGUAUGUAGUGAUGGAGGGACGCAGUAGGCUAACUAAAGCAGACGAUUGGAAGAGUCUGUCUAAGCAGUGAGGUGUGAAUUGAGUCAAAUGCUUAAUUCUAUAACAUUGAGCUGUGAUGGGGAGCGAAGUUUAGUAGCGAAGUUAGUGACGUCACACUGCCAAGAAAAGCUUCUAGCGUUUAAACAUACUCUACCCGUACCGCAAACCGACACAGGUAGUCGAGGCGAGUAGCCUCAGGUGAGCGAGAGAACUCUCGUUAAGGAACUCGGCAAAAUGACCCCGUAACUUCGGGAGAAGGGGUGCUGACUUUAAGUCAGCCGCAGUGAAUAGGCCCAAGCAACUGUUUAUCAAAAACACAGCUCUCUGCUAAAUCGUAAGAUGAUGUAUAGGGGGUGACGCCUGCCCGGUGCUGGAAGGUUAAGAGGAGUGCUUAGCGUAAGCGAAGGUAUGAAUUGAAGCCCCAGUAAACGGCGGCCGUAACUAUAACGGUCCUAAGGUAGCGAAAUUCCUUGUCGGGUAAGUUCCGACCCGCACGAAAGGCGUAAUGAUUUGGGCACUGUCUCAACGAGAGACUCGGUGAAAUUUUAGUACCUGUGAAGAUGCAGGUUACCCGCGACAGGACGGAAAGACCCCAUGGAGCUUUACUGCAGUUUGAUAUUGAGUGUCUGUACCACAUGUACAGGAUAGGUAGGAGUCUAAGAGAUCGGGACGCCAGUUUCGAAGGAGACGCUGUUGGGAUACUACCCUUGUGUUAUGGCCACUCUAACCCAGAUAGGUGAUCCCUAUCGGAGACAGUGUCUGACGGGCAGUUUGACUGGGGCGGUCGCCUCCUAAAAGGUAACGGAGGCGCCCAAAGGUUCCCUCAGAAUGGUUGGAAAUCAUUCGCAGAGUGUAAAGGUAUAAGGGAGCUUGACUGCGAGAGCUACAACUCGAGCAGGGACGAAAGUCGGGCUUAGUGAUCCGGUGGUUCCGUAUGGAAGGGCCAUCGCUCAACGGAUAAAAGCUACCCUGGGGAUAACAGGCUUAUCUCCCCCAAGAGUUCACAUCGACGGGGAGGUUUGGCACCUCGAUGUCGGCUCGUCGCAUCCUGGGGCUGUAGUCGGUCCCAAGGGUUGGGCUGUUCGCCCAUUAAAGCGGCACGCGAGCUGGGUUCAGAACGUCGUGAGACAGUUCGGUCCCUAUCCGUCGCGGGCGUAGGAAAUUUGAGAGGAUCUGCUCCUAGUACGAGAGGACCAGAGUGGACUUACCGCUGGUGUACCAGUUGUCUUGCCAAAGGCAUCGCUGGGUAGCUAUGUAGGGAAGGGAUAAACGCUGAAAGCAUCUAAGUGUGAAACCCACCUCAAGAUGAGAUUUCCCAUGAUUAUAUAUCAGUAAGAGCCCUGAGAGAUGAUCAGGUAGAUAGGUUAGAAGUGGAAGUGUGGCGACACAUGUAGCGGACUAAUACUAAUAGCUCGAGGACUUAUCCA
Molecule: ribosomal RNA, 2901 nt
Filed under: Streptococcus pneumoniae SPAR95
Lineage: Bacteria; Bacillati; Bacillota; Bacilli; Lactobacillales; Streptococcaceae
Description: bacterial LSU rRNA
Rfam family: Bacterial large subunit ribosomal RNA
Source: RNAcentral